GAUGAACGCUAGCGGGAGGCCUAACACAUGCAAGCCGAGCGGUAUUUGUUCUUCGGAACAGAGAGAGCGGCGCACGGGUGCGGAACACGUGUGCAACCUGCCUUUAUCUGGGGGAUAGCCUUUCGAAAGGAAGAUUAAUACCCCAUAAUAUAUUGAGUGGCAUCACUUAAUAUUGAAAACUCCGGUGGAUAGAGAUGGGCACGCGCAAGAUUAGAUAGUUGGUGAGGUAACGGCUCACCAAGUCAAUGAUCUUUAGGGGGCCUGAGAGGGUGAUCCCCCACACUGGUACUGAGACACGGACCAG
RNAcentral lists this ribosomal RNA (304 nucleotides) under uncultured bacterium. Its description in RNAcentral is "bacterial SSU rRNA". It matches the Rfam family "Bacterial small subunit ribosomal RNA", at positions 28 to 334 of the family's 1533-position model. The record is from RNAcentral.